This 358-nucleotide unclassified non-coding RNA is filed under the name soil metagenome. Its description in RNAcentral is "partial contains 5.8S ribosomal RNA, internal transcribed spacer 2, and large subunit ribosomal RNA". The stretch from base 1 to 120 matches the Rfam family "5.8S ribosomal RNA", at positions 35 to 154 of the family's 154-position model. The record is from RNAcentral.
GAUGAAGAACGCAGCGAAAUGCGAUAAGUAAUGUGAAUUGCAGAAUUCAGUGAAUCAUCGAAUCUUUGAACGCACAUUGCGCCCGUCAGUAUUCUGGCGGGCAUGCCUGUUCGAGCGUCAUUACGCCCCUCAAGUCCCCUGUGGACUUGGUGUUGGGGAUCGGCGAGGCUGGUUUUCCAGCACAGCCGUCCCUUAAAUUAAUUGGCGGUCUCGCCGUGGCCCUCCUCUGCGCAGUAGUAAAACACUCGCAACAGGAGCCCUGCGCGGUCCACUGCCGUAAAACCCCCCAACUUUUUAUAGUUGACCUCGAAUCAGGUAGGACUACCCGCUGAACUUAAGCAUAUCAAUAAGCGGAGGA